Arabidopsis lyrata subsp. lyrata is the source of this 426-nucleotide long non-coding RNA. RefSeq lists it as uncharacterized. Lineage: Eukaryota; Viridiplantae; Streptophyta; Magnoliopsida; Brassicales; Brassicaceae. The transcript has 2 exons. The record is from RefSeq and is a predicted model, not a curated record.
GGUUUUAAACUAGUGCACUUUCAUGUUUGGGUUGAUGAUGGGUUUGACUAGUUAGAAGUGAACAAGGGGAUUCCUAAUUUGUUUAUCAUUGGCAGCCAAAAUAGAGGUUACGAGCCGUUCAAGAGUUAAUAAAUCUGCAGGUUGGAACAUUUAGUGUUGAACGUAUUGAGAUGGAGGUUACGAGCCAUGACACCGUGCUCUUACGUGAGAUACUUCCUGUGUAAGAUCAAUGGUUAUGAUCAAGAACCACACAGCAGAUUGAUAUCCAGAUCACUACAAGUGAUAGCCAGCACAACCUCAGUUUUCUAAACCUCAGUUUUGCUUUUGGGUUAUGGACUUUUGGGUUAGAAAUGAUUGAUGGUGGUUGUGAAAAAGAUAGUUGAUGUAUAGACAAUACACUAAUGCACACAUUGUCUAUUUAUAUCC